RNA transcript from Helianthus annuus (common sunflower), 1274 nucleotides. RefSeq lists it as uncharacterized. The transcript has 7 exons. Lineage: Eukaryota; Viridiplantae; Streptophyta; Magnoliopsida; Asterales; Asteraceae. The record is from RefSeq and is a predicted model, not a curated record.
UAUUCAUUCACCUCUCAACCUAGGGCUUCUAUCUUCCAUCACAAGACUCUACCUUCCCCAUCCCUAGAUUGCCUCCUGAAACAUCUUCAUCAUCAAGGUACAUCUAUCUUGGAUUGUGUAACAGUGAAAUAAAAGCUGCAAGGAUGCUUGCGUCAAGUUAAUUGUCCAUUAGGCAACACUUCCGAUGAUACGAGAACAAGGGUUAAGCACUGCACACGUAUGACACGAGGAACUCAGACGCCUCAGGCCCACCCUCUCAACCUGAGUGGUGUUGUGGCUUUGGUUUUCAUCCUGUUGACCAGGGACAACAAUAGAGAAGAUUUUGGGAUCUACUCCACAUUGGGCAUGGCAUGUUUUUGUCCACAUGCAGCUUCUAACUUCAUUGCUGUCAUAGAAUCAUUAGUAUUGGUGGAACAGACCCAUCAGGUCAUUGAUCAUUAUUUAAGAAAGGUAUUCGCAAACUGGAGUUUGUAGUGUUGUUUUCGGAAGCAGGUUCAGAAGCCAAGUUUUUGGUCACCAUCCUGUAUCCAGGUUAGAAUCAUUAGAUUCUAGAGACAGCUAUCAUGGUCUGGUUUUUGGUCAUGUUGUCAAGGUUAGAGGCUGUUUGGAUUGUGUUUUCGAACUGAUGUUCUUUUUAGCUUUCAGUCUUUGGAUAAGGGAUUGGAUAGUGUUUAAUGAUCCUUUAUCGCACUAUCUCCUAAGGUGACAUCAGCUUUGUUGCGCUUUCAAAUAUGCAUAAUGGAUUCAUUUGUUAAUUCUUUAACAAUGGCUAUGGGCCAUGAGGCUACUUCCUUUAUUAAGUUGCAAGUCUUUAACCGAGUGAGGCCUCAAAACAAAAAUCUGGCACUCACUUAACUGCUAUCUAUGGUUAAAAUCUCUUAAUAUUUUUUAUUCUAAUUAAUUUUUGGAAUUUUAUUGUUAUGUAUAAUAUAGAACUUUUAUAUCAAUAUCGAAUUCAAGGCAUGUUCUAAGGCUAAUAUAAUACACUUAGAUUUUUCAUUAUUUGAUUUUUUAGUAAUUAUAUAAUUUUUCAUUUCUGUGGUAACAUGAUUCAACCGAAGCAUUUGGACAUCACCAUUGUUAAAGCUAUGGAUAACAUGAAUGCCCACCAAAGGAUCGUCAUGUUAAAAAGUGAAUUUCACAUGUAUACGGGCCAUAAUCCCUAUUUGCAAAUUAUUCUUUUUAUAUUGUAGUUGGGUUAGGAAUUGUUUUUAUGUUUUUAACUCUUUUGUUUGUUAUAGCGUGUGCUCGCAUGUGAAAUUUUGUUCGUUAAA